RNAcentral lists this ribosomal RNA (383 nucleotides) under uncultured bacterium. RNAcentral's name for it is "bacterial SSU rRNA". It matches the Rfam family "Bacterial small subunit ribosomal RNA", at positions 28 to 404 of the family's 1533-position model. The record is from RNAcentral.
GACGAACGCUGGCGGCGCGCCUAACACAUGCAAGUCGAGCGAGAACCAGAGCUUCGGUUCUGGGGAAAGCGGCGAACGGGUGAGUAACACGUGGGUAAUCUGCCCUCGGCGCCGGGAUAGCCCGGGGAAACCCGGAUUAAUACCGGAUGGCCUCUCGCGCUCUCGGGCGCGAAAGAAAAGGUGGCUUCGGCUUCUGGCCGAGGAUGAGCCCGCGGCCGAUUAGCUUGUUGGUGAGGUAAUGGCNCACCAAGGCUCCGAUCGGUAGCUGGUCUGAGAGGACGAUCAGCCACACUGGGACUGAGACACGGCCCANACUCCUACGGGAGGCAGCAGUGGGGAAUCUUGCGCAAUGGGCGAAAGCCUGACGCAGCGACGCCGCGUGC